GAUGAAGAACGUAGCGAAAUGCGAUAAGUAAUGUGAAUUGCAGAAUUCAGUGAAUCAUCGAAUCUUUGAACGCACAUUGCGCCCGCCAGUAUUCUGGCGGGCAUGCCUGUUCGAGCGUCAUUUCAACCCUCAAGACCCCUUCGGGGGACUUGGUGUUGGGGACCGGCACAUGGGCCUUGCGCCCCUCGCCGCCCCCGAAAUGAAUUGGCGGCCUCGUCGCGGCCUCCCCUGCGUAGUAGCACAACCUCGCAACGGGAACGUGACGGCGGCCACUGCCGUAAAACAACCCAAUUUUAUUAGAGUUGACCUCGAAUCAGGUAGGAAUACCCGCUGAACUUAAGCAUAUCAAUAAGCGGAGGA
RNAcentral lists this unclassified non-coding RNA (360 nucleotides) under soil metagenome. RNAcentral's name for it is "partial contains 5.8S ribosomal RNA, internal transcribed spacer 2, and large subunit ribosomal RNA". The stretch from base 1 to 120 matches the Rfam family "5.8S ribosomal RNA", at positions 35 to 154 of the family's 154-position model. The record is from RNAcentral.